UGCCAGCCGCCGCGGUAACACGGGGGGCGCAAGCGUUAUUCGGAAUUAUUGGGCGUAAAGGGCGCGCAGGCGGUCUUGUCGGUCAGGGGUGAAAUCCUACCGCUCAACGGUAGAACUGCCUUUGAUACUGGCAAACUUGAGUUAUUGUGAAGUAGUUAGAAUGUGUAGUGUAGCGGUGAAAUGCAUAGAUAUUACACAGAAUACCAAUUGCGAAGGCAGAUUACUAACAAUUAACUGACGCUGAGUGACGAAAGCGUGGGUAGAGAACAGGAUUAGAUA
RNAcentral lists this ribosomal RNA (279 nucleotides) under uncultured bacterium. RNAcentral describes it as "partial 16S ribosomal RNA". It matches the Rfam family "Bacterial small subunit ribosomal RNA", at positions 506 to 784 of the family's 1533-position model. The record is from RNAcentral.